Molecule: long non-coding RNA, 368 nt
Filed under: Marmota monax (woodchuck)
Lineage: Eukaryota; Metazoa; Chordata; Mammalia; Rodentia; Sciuridae
Source: RNAcentral
AAAGCAAUUAAAAAUUCUUUUUUUUUCAGGUAAGAAAUUUGGUCAGUUACCCAGAACCCUGUGAGUGAACAAGCAGUCCAGACUGACAUGAUCACAUGCAUUGUGAAGAUGCAAAGACGUUCAUCUUUAUUAAAUUUCCCCAAGAAAUGUGCUGUGUUCUGCCAAAGCUCAUAGCACAUGACCUCUUAAAAUGCACACUUUCUUUAAAAUGAUAGACGUGUCAAAGCACAUUAAAGAACGGCUGCUUAAUGUUCACAACUCAAUAAUGAAGACCAAAAAUCAAAAUUUGUACUGAGGGCUGGGGAUGUGGCUCAAGCGGUAAUGCACUCACCUGGCAUGCACGGGGCGCUGGAUUCGAUCCUCAGCAC